Long non-coding RNA from Mus musculus (house mouse), 6684 nucleotides. RefSeq annotates it as predicted gene, 20083. The transcript has 3 exons. NCBI's taxonomy places the organism in Eukaryota, Metazoa, Chordata, Mammalia, Rodentia, Muridae. The record is from RefSeq and is a predicted model, not a curated record.
UUCUCUGGCUCCCUGGAUUGGCCUUUUCCAUCACAGUCCUUGCCAUGAAUUGUGGUCUAGACUUAGGUCUGUAUUAUCUACCAAGGCCAGUGUGCUUAGCUUUAACUGCCAUCUUGACAUGACCUAGAAUCACCUAGGAAGAGAGUCCUUUGCAAGGAAUUCUCUACCUCGGGUUGGCCUGUCGGCAUGGUGGGAUGUGACAGAUUGUCCCUCUUAUCAACUGAGUUGGGAAGACCCAUCCUGGUGGUGUGUGAUAGCCCUUCACACUAAUCCAUGGACGGUGUAAGAGUAGAGAGAACUAUCUGAGUAGUAAGAGGAAGAGCAAGCAAGGAUCUAUGCAUUUCUUCUUCCUCUGCAUUCCUGCCUUGACUUCUCCAUAAUGACUGAAACCUUCAACUAUAAGCCAGGGCAUUUGUCAUACGAGCCGAAGUGAAACGAGAGCAGAGGUUGUCUCCAUUUUGCUUGCUUUGGAUCUCCAAGAGUCAGCACAAGGCCAACACGCAGCUCUAGGAAGAGUGAAGCCUUCGGUUUAUGUCACUGUUUAUAACAGACACAGUAUGUCAGAUCUAGCUCACGUCCAUUUAGAUUUCCUCACUACGUACACCACAGCACCAUGGGAAUCCACAAACCUUCGCAAAAGCAGCCGCUUGUUCCCUUGAGACAAUCACUGAAAGGAGCUGAUUCCUGAAUGUUGAAGAUCCACCUUCUUGUUUAAAGAAGAUAAUUAAUCAGAAACACUCAAGAGAGGAAAAGAUGGAAGAAAAGAGGGGGCUACGAAGGGAGGGGUGCGGAAGGGAGCAAGAAAAACCCCUGCAAUGUUUAACCAGACUUUGUCUCCCAGGGACUUCUCUGUUCUGAGGCUGUCAUCCAACCAGUUUCCUGGGCCCGCUCUUUUAGCUCUUUUCGUAUCCCUGCCAAACUAUCCCUGGGAAAGGCAGAAGCUAGACACUCUAAAUCCCAAGGUUUAAGAUGAUAAAGACCCUCAGAGGCUGGUGCGAGCCUUUCAGGCCUUUUUGUUCGCUGUGCCUUUGUUUCAGCAAUUUCUCCCAUCUCAAAGGAUUUUCAGCGGCAUCAAGAGCCUGACACUUUGCCCGUCCUCGUCCCCGUUCUCACAGACAUCUCCAGAAGAACCUGAAGUCACUUCUAACAGUAUCUCUCAAGACCGAUACAGUUGAGCUCCAUCUGCCCUUCUAACAUCGGCGGCCUGGCAACAGUGUCUUGCUAAGCUGGGAAACAUGGUAUGGUGAGAAGGUCUCUAACUUCGGUCAAGACUCAGUUCUGCCACUCUCCACAAUGACUCUGGGCAAGCUAUAAUUCCACAGGUGCUUCAGAGCACUAUCCCAGCAUGGCCUUGUCCUGGACUGCAUGGGGUUCAUUCUUCAUCCUCAAUGGUCAGGAGCCACUUCCAACAGGUGCCCAGGGAGGACAAAGGAUCCAGGUAUGCUUGUCUAGUUCAGGUUUGAGGUUAUCAGUUAUUUCUUUGUAGCUUCAUAGCUUGAAAUCUAAAGAGAAGGCUUAGAUAGGUUUCUACUGUACCUGCUUGUAUUCUAAUGCCAAUUACGUUCCCCAAAAACAUGUUUGAAGGAGAACACACGUAGCUUCUGGGUACCUGCCCCCAGUUGAUGCUGAUUGGUAAGUAAAGAUGCCAACAGCUAAUAGCUGAGCAGGGCGGACAGAGGAGGGAUUUUAGGAUCCCCAAGCUUGGGGCCAGGAAAAGAAGAGGGAGAAGGAGAUCCGCCAAGGCCAGAGAGCAUGGAGGAGAGAAGAGACGUCAUGCCUGAGAAGAAUGCAGGACAAAGAAACAUGGCCACCAUGGGAAGGAGCCGGCAGAGCACAGUCCAGCAGGCUGCCCAACUUGGGUCCAGAGCAGUAAAAGGUAGAACACAGAAUUUAGGAAGUAGUGACGCAGAAUUAUCGGCAGGAGGUGCAUUCGAUCAGCUGUAGCAGUUAGGCAAAGGCCCAGCUAUUGUGCUGAUUAAGGCAUAUUAAAAUAUAAAGGCUGUGUGUGAAUGUCUUUCAUUUGGGAACAUAAACCAUUGGGUCAGGUAGCGAACCCACUGCUGGGAUUUAUUUAUUUAUUAAUAUGUAAUUCAACAUUCCACCACUCAUUAAAUACAUGACUUGUAAGAGGUGAACUUUGCUAAUACAAACAUCUUGGCUGGUGAUAGGUUUGUAUCUGCUAUACCCAGAAGAUAUGCAAAAGAUCAUAAGUCAAACAUGCAAUUCCCCUAACCCACUGAGUAUCUUGACUUAGGCCAGUCUAUCUUACAUGUGUUCAUAACAUAUGCAUUAUAUUUUGGUUGGGCAAAGCCAUCUAACAGAAGGCCUACUUUAUAAUGAAGGACCGAACAUAUCUCAUAUGCUUGACUGAAGGUGAAAAUCAGAAUGGUUAUAUGCUGUGCUUUCAUUCCAUUAUAAAACUGAGAUCAGUUAAGUUGAACCAUCAUAAGCCAGGAGCUGUAUGUGCUUAGCUUCAUCAUCCUCAAAACGUAAAUAUUAAUCCUCGUGGAAUUGAUAGGACAAGCCAAAGUACAUGGGAAGCACUUUUCCUAGCAAGAAUUAAAGACUAACGGCAGCUAUACUUCUCAUAGCGCCUUCUAGUAUCAACUCUACUACAAUCUUACAUAAAAAUAAUGAAUAUGUGUAUUAAAGGGACCUGAGGUGAAUCACAGGAAAGUAGAAGCUAUUGACUUAUUCAGAACUGUGGGAUUGGAUGCUUGGACUUUUAUUCCCACUGUAACCAUGUUUCUAAAACACAGAUCAGAAUUUAAAAAGGAGACUCAGGUGGUUCAUUUACUGAAACUCCGGGGAACAGAAUGUUUAAUUUACUGCUCUCCUAUUUAUUUGACUCACACACAGGCUUCACUUUUCCUGAUGGAGCAAAAGGAGUAUCAGGAGAUAAAUGGUGAUGCCAGACUGGAUCUCAGACAACACUGGAAGCAUCUCCAGGCUUUCCUAACACCAGAUUAAUCCAUAUGAAUGGAAAGGACAAUUCAUUUGUCCUUCCCUGUGACCCUCAUUCUGUCCCAGAUGGACCACGCUAAAGAGGAUGUAGAGUAUGAAGUCUGUCUGAAUAUGUGAAAGGACUGACACCAGGGUUGUUGUGAAGCUGUGGGGCCUUUGUUGAGCCAGAGAUACGGCUUGAAGGGAGAAAAUGAAACAUAGGUUGUGGCUCAGUUCUCAGCUAAGUACCCAGUACCCAGUUGAGUAGAGUAAGUGAGCUGCCUAUGCAAGUCAGCCAGAGGAAGACACAGAUGUCAGGGAAGAAGCAGGGCGUGGCUCCACCUAAAUGAGGAGGGGGAGCUCUAUGCCUGGCUGGGAGACCCUGUGGGUACUGGUGAUGACCAGCCCACACUCAGCCCUGAGCCAUAAAGACACAAAAGAAACCCCAAAGGAAGGAACGAACUGACUUGUCAAUCAUUCCCUACAGUUUUUAUUGAAGCAGGUCUGCCCAGCCUCUGCCUGCCUGCAGGAACUUAGAGACACACUAGCACUCUAUGGACGAGCAAAGACCAAAGUCAGGAGCAGAUCUUCAUCAAAUGGUGAGGAUUCCAUCUCAUCAGCCAGAGCAGUCAUCAACGAAGCCAAGGACAGCUCUCACAAGUUGUCCUUGAACCUCCACACACGGGCAUAUAUAUGACUAAAUUUAAUUUGUUAAAGCCAAAUUUUUUUAAAAAUUAAAAAAAAAACAAGCAAAAUUGUGGAGACUUUAUAAUUUAUGUUUAAUGCCAAGAAUGCCUCAUGCCAGAUAGUCGUCAGAACUUUCAUACAUUGCCACAGCUAAUGACCACCAUAACCAUGUUCUAUGACACAGAGGCAUUGAUACCCAAAAUGGCAGGGACUACUAUAAAAGUGACAGAAUCAGCUUUGGGUUAUUGUAGAAAAGAGCUAGGAAAUGGAGUUGGCAGAGCAUCUAGAGCCAAGGUCUUGUGCUCCUUGGUCUCAGCCAAGGAGGGUCUGGUAUUCUAUACAGAGUCAACCUGUUCUCACCAGAUGUGAGGUUAAACAGUGUCCUACAACAGUAGUUCUCAACCAUCCUGAUGCUAAAACCAUUUGAUGUAGAUUUUUAUGUUGUGGUGACCCUCAAACCAUAACAUUAUGCUGUUGCUACUUCACAAUAAUAAUCUUGCUACUGUGAUAGAUCGUAUGAAGAAUAUAUGAUAUGUGAACCCCAUGAAAGGGUCGUUGGGAUCCCCAAAACGGUUGGGACCCACAUGUAUAGAACCUACUAUCUUAAGGUCUCCCUUAAGACCUUAAGAAGGAAGAAAAAAUGGGGAGAAGAACUUUGAGGCACCUUAAACAAAGCAGCAAGGACUGAGAAGUCUAUAUCGUUACCAUCUUCUCUGCCCUAGAACACUCACAAUGUCCUCAGGAGGCAGAAAUUCUCACCUCCAUUUGAAUAAUCAUUGUAACGUUGAUACAUGUGAAUAAUACUCAUAUGAUUUAUACUUUAUCCUAAAUAAUCCUGACAUCAGGACUCCCAUCUUUCGUGAGAUGCUGGCUUCCAUCUUCCUCCUCUCUACCUAAUAGACUCACUCUCUCUCUCUCUCUCUCUCUCUCUCUCUCUCUCCCUUCAAAGUCUCAAUCUGAAACCCCAGCCCACAGAUAGUCCUUCUUGUCCUUCUUUUGGGAACUGGCAGCACAAAUUUUUUUCAACUUGCAAUGGUUACAUGCUGAUAAAUCACACUGCAAGUAUCACAGGUUAAAUGCAUGUAACCCACCCAAGCUAUUGAGCAUCACAACUCAUGAACAGCCCUGCUUAGAGCAGUUUUAAUUUCCCUUUGUGGCCAUGAGCUAUGUGGGAGCAGCAGAGGCCACUGUCCAGUAUCACGAGAGUGUGUUGGGAACAUCUACCUGGGCUCUCUCUCCUAUGCUUUGUCAGUCUUCUCUUAGGAUUUGGCCCUGGCUCCUGUUAACCUCUGUGACAGUUGGGAACAACAGCUUGAGAAAGUAACAUCAAGUUAUAGCAAGGAUUGGACAUGCUGAAGAGCUGUCAUAUUCUGGUCUCUGGGUGAAGUUCCUGGCAAGCACAGAGCUACCUAAGAUACUAGUCCUGCCUGGAUGUGCCUCUUGUUUCUGGAACUUUCACACGUAUGCUUGUUCUCUUCUUUAAGGCUUCCUGUCUCAAAAUAGGUUCAUUCCUGGAUUCCCCAACACAAGGCACAAAACGCUCAGCACAGUCCAGGGCUUCGUAUACAGCAAGAGCUCAAUCACUAGUCAUACAGCAAGUGCUUAAUCGCCAGGCAUACAACUCAAUCACCAGUCACAGGCUCCUCCCAUUAUUGAAUCAUGUUUCAUGUCAUUCACAGAAGCUUUCUCAUGAGCCCUGUGAUUCACAACUGCAUGGCUCACUGUUUCCUAGAGCCCCAUAUCACAUUGAACCCACUGGAAAUACAGACCAGUGAGUGAGAUGGAUGAGGGCUCUGGGCAAGUGGGGGGUGUAGGUUAGGUCCAGGAAUUACCUAGAAAAUAUGUUUGUGUGUGUGUGUGUGUGUGUGUGUGUGUGUGUGUGUGUUGAGAGUACACAUGUCAGGAUACACGUGAUACACAUGUGGAGAUUAGAGGACAACUUUGCCGAGUUGAUUCUCUCUGUCUACCUUUACAAGGAUAAAGUCUAGUUCAUCAGGCUUGUACAACAAGCACCUUUACCCACUGGGCCAUCAUGCUGGCCUUUGCCUAGCAACUUCGAAUGUUAACAUAUGCACUCAGACUUUUGUUCAACUGAAGGUGAGGUAAGGCGAUCACAGUGUCUCUGAGAAAGAUGGGAAACCCAGGGAAACUGAGCAUGGCUCACUGUCUCCUACAGCCCCACACCACGUUGAACCCACUGGAAAUAGAGCAUUGGAGACCAUGCAGCUAUUUGCAUAGAAAUUCCAGGGAGCGCUAGGAGUCGAUAGGACUGCCCACCUAAGUAGCAAAGUAAGAUGCUGGGGUGGAAGUAGGAAAACAUGAGUGUGAGCACAUGUGUCAAUUACCCUUAAAAAAUGUUAGGGAGACUGAUGAGGAGGGACAGGAAACAGAAAGUGCUAAGGUUCAGCGAUUACCCAAAAAGAAGCCAGCAGAUGCAUAAAUGUGUCGUCCCACUGUUCUCUAGGCUGGUAAGGCAUUGAGACACAAACAUGAUUUGUGCAAGCUUUUAGGAGAAAUUGAGACUUGCGGAGGAUACAGAGCUUAAUAAUUCAGUUCUCCCUAAGAUUCCCAGCUCAGUGUCUGCCCUGACUUUUGCCUGGUAGCUUGUCGCUGCCACCUGGCUGACAGCUUGAUGCAGGCCUGUCACCUUUGAGCAUCUGAUUGUGAGGCUCAGCCUCCUGGGAUCAGAGCAGAACAAUAGCCUCAGUCCUCAGGGGCUGACGCUAAGCACCAAACACUGGUCAGCUCCAAACACUGGUUGCCAUUCACUUCAGAACGCCUGCUGCUGUGCAUGCUAAUCCAAAUUGGGUUCAAGCCCCCAGCCUCUGCCUCCAUUGUUGGGCCAUACUUUUCAUUCAGCAUGAGAUCGGAGAUCUGCUGAAACCUCAUGUUGCCAAUAAGAGGAGAAGAGAUUGCAUUAAUCUCAAUAAAAAUGAGUUCCUCUUAAUUUUUUUGUCCUAGAAAGAAAGGAAGGGCAUAAAAACAUUACACUUGCCUCUAGAGAGAGGGAGAGAGAGAGAGAGAGAGAGAGAGAGAGAGAGAGAGAGAGAGAGA